CCUCCGUAGGUGAACCUGCGGAGGGAUCAUUACAGAGUUCAUGCCCUACCGGGUAGAUCUCCCACCCUAUGUUAUUAUUACUUUGUUGCUUUGGCGGGCCGUUAGGCUCCGGCCCGACUACCGGCCCCGGCUGGUAAGCGCCCGCCAGAGGACCCAAAACCCUGAAUAUUAGUGUCGUCUGAGUACUAUAUAAUAGUUAAAACUUUCAACAACGGGUCUCUUGGUUCUG
RNAcentral lists this unclassified non-coding RNA (229 nucleotides) under plant metagenome. RNAcentral's name for it is "partial contains small subunit ribosomal RNA, internal transcribed spacer 1, and 5.8S ribosomal RNA". The record is from RNAcentral.